This 430-nucleotide ribosomal RNA is filed under the name uncultured Lachnospiraceae bacterium. Its description in RNAcentral is "bacterial SSU rRNA". It matches the Rfam family "Bacterial small subunit ribosomal RNA", at positions 952 to 1382 of the family's 1533-position model. The record is from RNAcentral. Lineage: Bacteria; Bacillati; Bacillota; Clostridia; Lachnospirales; Lachnospiraceae.
CGAAGCAACGCGAAGAACCUUACCAAGUCUUGACAUCGGAAUGACCGGUCCGUAACGGGGCCUUCCCUACGGGGCAUUCCAGACAGGUGGUGCAUGGUUGUCGUCAGCUCGUGUCGUGAGAUGUUGGGUUAAGUCCCGCAACGAGCGCAACCCUUAUCCUUAGUAGCCAGCAGUUCGGCUGGGCACUCUGGGGAGGACUGCCAGGGAUAACCUGGAGGAAGUGGGGAUGACGUCAAAUCAUCAUGCCCCUUAUGAUUUGGGCUACACACGUGCUACAAUGGCGUAAACAAAGGGAAGCGAAGGAGUGAUCCGGAGCAAAUCUCAAAAAUAACGUCUCAGUUCGGAUUGUAGUCUGCAACUCGACUACAUGAAGCUGGAAUCGCUAGUAAUCGCGGAUCAGAAUGCCGCGGUGAAUACGUUCCCGGGUCUU